RNAcentral lists this non-coding RNA (133 nucleotides) under uncultured Lawsonibacter sp. RNAcentral's name for it is "FMN riboswitch (RFN element)". It matches the Rfam family "FMN riboswitch aptamer (RFN element)". From Rfam's summary of the family: The RFN element is a highly conserved domain that is found frequently in the 5'-untranslated regions of prokaryotic mRNAs that encode for flavin mononucleotide (FMN) biosynthesis and transport proteins. This element is a metabolite-dependent riboswitch that directly binds FMN in the absence of proteins. Lineage: Bacteria; Bacillati; Bacillota; Clostridia; Eubacteriales; Oscillospiraceae. The record is from RNAcentral.
AGUCUUCAGGGCGGGGUGAAAUUCCCCACUGGCGGUACAGUCCGCGACCGGACGCAGUUUCAACAUUGAUAUUGCGUCCGCUGACUCGGUGAAACUCCGGGACCAACGGUUACAGUCCGGAUGGAAGAAGAUG